This is a small nuclear RNA of Fukomys damarensis (Damara mole-rat), 126 nucleotides long. Lineage: Eukaryota; Metazoa; Chordata; Mammalia; Rodentia; Bathyergidae. The record is from Ensembl.
GGUAUGUAUGAAAGGAAAGAAAGUUAGCACUCCUCUUGACAAGGAUGGAAGAGGCCCUUGGGCCUGACAACACACAUAUGGUUAAGGCAUUUCCACCUACUUCGUGGCAUCUAACCACUGUUUUUA